ACACUCCUGCGGGAGGCAGCAGUGGGGAAUAUUGCACAAUGGGCGCAAGCCUGAUGCAGCCAUGCCGCGUGUAUGAAGAAGGCCUUCGGGUUGUAAAGUACUUUCAGCGGGGAGGAAGGUGUUGAGGUUAAUAACCUCAGCAAUUGACGUUACCCGCAGAAGAAGCACCGGCUAACUCCGUGCCAGCAGCCGCGGUAAUACGGAGGGUGCAAGCGUUAAUCGGAAUUACUGGGCGUAAAGCGCACGCAGGCGGUCUGUCAAGUCGGAUGUGAAAUCCCCGGGCUCAACCUGGGAACUGCAUUCGAAACUGGCAGGCUAGAGUCUUGUAGAGGGGGGUAGAAUUCCAGGUGUAGCGGUGAAAUGCGUAGAGAUCUGGAGGAAUACCGGUGGCGAAGGCGGCCCCCUGGACAAAGACUGACGCUCAGGUGCGAAAGCGUGGGGAGCAAACAGGAUUAGAAACCCGGGUAGUCCCAUG
RNAcentral lists this ribosomal RNA (475 nucleotides) under uncultured organism. Its description in RNAcentral is "partial 16S ribosomal RNA". It matches the Rfam family "Bacterial small subunit ribosomal RNA", at positions 333 to 799 of the family's 1533-position model. The record is from RNAcentral.